Molecule: ribosomal RNA, 253 nt
Filed under: uncultured bacterium
Lineage: Bacteria
Description: partial 16S ribosomal RNA
Rfam family: Bacterial small subunit ribosomal RNA
Source: RNAcentral
UACGGAGGGUGCAAGCGUUAUCCGGAUUCACUGGGUUUAAAGGGUGCGUAGGCGGGCAUGUAAGUCAGUGGUGAAAUCUUCAGGCUUAACCUGAAAAUUGCCGUUGAUAUUAUGUGUCUUGAAUAUCGUUGAGGUUUGCGGAAUAUGUCAUGUAGCGGUGAAAUGCUUAGAUAUGACAUAGAACACCAAUUGCGAAGGCAGCAGGCUAAACGAACAUUGACGCUGAGGCACGAAAGCGUGGGGAUCAAACAGG